Molecule: ribosomal RNA, 905 nt
Filed under: Subcoccinella vigintiquattuorpunctata (24-pointed ladybird beetle)
Lineage: Eukaryota; Metazoa; Arthropoda; Insecta; Coleoptera; Coccinellidae
Description: SSU rRNA
Rfam family: Eukaryotic small subunit ribosomal RNA
Source: RNAcentral
GCAGCAGGCGCGCAAAUUACCCACUCCCAGAGCGGGGAGGUAGUGACGAAAAAUAACGAUACGGGACUCAUCCGAGGCCCCGUAAUCGGAAUGAGUACAAUUUAAAUCCUUUAACGAGGACCAAUUGGAGGGUAAGUCUGGUGCCAGCAGCCGCGGUAAUUCCAGCUCCAAUAGCGUAUAUUAAAGUUGUUGCGGUUAAAAAGCUCGUAGUCGAAUUUGUGUCUCGCGCCGACGGUUCAUCGUCCGCGGUGUUAACUGGCGUGUCGCGAGACGUCCUGCCGGCGGGCUUAGCUCGCGAGAGCGGUCCAAUCCAAUCCCGCCGCGGUGCUCUUGAUUGAGUGUCGAGGUGGGCCGGCACGUUUACUUUGAACAAAUUACAGUGCUCAAAGCAGGCUAAAAUUUCGCCUGAAUACUCCGUGCAUGGAAUAAUGAAACAGGACCUCGGUUCUAUUUUGUUGGUUUUCGGAACACCGAGGUAAUGAUCAACAGGAACGGAUGGGGGCAUUCGUAUUGCGACGUUAGAGGUGAAAUUCUUGGAUCGUCGCAAGACGGACAGAAGCGAAAGCAUUUGCCAAAAAUGUUUUCAUUGAUCAAGAACGAAAGUUAGAGGUUCGAAGGCGAUCAGAUACCGCCCUAGUUCUAACCAUAAACGAUGCCAGCUAGCGAUCCGCCGACGUUCCUCCGAUGACUCGGCGGGCAGCUUCCGGGAAACCAAAGCUUUUGGGUUCCGGGGGAAGUAUGGUUGCAAAGCUGAAACUUAAAGGAAUUGACGGAAGGGCACCACCAGGAGUGGAGCCUGCGGCUUAAUUUGACUCAACACGGGAAACCUCACCAGGCCCAGACACCGGAAGGAUUGACAGAUUGAUAGCUCUUUCUUGAUUCAGUGGGUGGUGGUGCAUGGCCGU